CAUGGUCCGCACAAUCUUCAUCUUCUUCUCUCCAAUCUAUUACCCUUAUAUAAUUUGAAAAAGAAACCCUCUUAUCCUUUUUUCCGAUUAACAAGCCUUCAACUUUCUAACAAACGCCUCAAUAAAUUUGUUAAAAGAUAGACCAAAUCGUUGCGUGUCGGUAUAGAGAGAAAGGGAGAGAACAUUAUGAUAAGGGAAAACGCGUUUCUCGGAUUGUUUGGUUUUUGUUUUUGUUUUAUAGGGUGAAAAUGUGAAUGUGCGAGAGAGAUAUAGACGGAGCCUGAUAUCUGGCCUUCGUGUGUGAAAGAGGUAAAAGCCUACACUGAAUAAUACUGGGCAAUUUGGACCUAAUCUGGUCGGCUGUGUGUUGAGUUGGAAGGUUCGUAUCUUGGCUGUUCCCAA
This 402-nucleotide long non-coding RNA is filed under the name Olea europaea (common olive). RNAcentral's name for it is "long non-coding RNA (OEUR_LNC012467)". Lineage: Eukaryota; Viridiplantae; Streptophyta; Magnoliopsida; Lamiales; Oleaceae. The record is from RNAcentral.